UCCAGACUCCUACGGGAGGCAGCAGUAGGGAAUUUUGCGCAAUGGGGGAAACCCUGACGCAGCAACACCGCGUGAAUGUUAAGCCCUUCGGGGUGUAAAGUUCUGUCAAUAGGGACGAAUUUUGACUGUACCUAUAAAGGAAGCACCGGCUAACUCCGUGCCAGCAGCCGCGGUAAUACGGGGGGUGCAAGCGUUGUCCGGAAUCAUUGGGCGUAAAGCGUUCGUAGGCGGUAAAGUAAGUCAGAUGUUAAAGCCCGGGGCUCAACUCCGGUUCGGCAUUUGAUACUACUUGACUAGAAUGCGGUAGAGGUAAAGGGAAUUCCUGGUGUAGCGGUGAAAUGCGUAGAUAUCAGGAGGAACAUCGGUGGCGAAGGCGGUCUGCUGGACAGCAACUGACGCUGAGGCGCGAAAGCGUGGGGAGCAAACAGGAUUAGAUACCCGUGUA
RNAcentral lists this ribosomal RNA (445 nucleotides) under uncultured bacterium. RNAcentral describes it as "bacterial SSU rRNA". It matches the Rfam family "Bacterial small subunit ribosomal RNA", at positions 330 to 792 of the family's 1533-position model. The record is from RNAcentral.